GGCCAGCAUGGUGUAAUGGUUUGAUCGUUGGACUAGGACUCUGGGAGACCAGGGUUCGAAACCCUGCUUGGCCA
Phrynosoma platyrhinos (Desert horned lizard) is the source of this 74-nucleotide non-coding RNA. Lineage: Eukaryota; Metazoa; Chordata; Lepidosauria; Squamata; Phrynosomatidae. The record is from the annotation of a GenBank genome assembly.